GAACUAUUUCACCUCAUUAAAUAAAGGGGGGAGAGAGAGAGAGAAUAUCGACCUAUCAAGCAAACCUCAUACCACUGACAAACUGCAUGCUCACUAUUUACUGUAGCUGACUGGCUAAUGAUGAUUGUGAAUUAUGUACACAUUUACUUUGUACACAAUAUUCAAUGUUGUGGGAAAAUAACCUGUGGAGUGAUAAAAAAAAAAAUAUCACAGAUGUUUAUUUAGCACACUGUGUAAAAUAUUCUUCACCUCAAAACGACUUUCUGAGGACUGAAUUUCAUCGUUAAGACUUGGUACUGGACAAAAAGGCAUGACCGAUUGUCUACAUGUUAUAUAGCUGUAUAGUAUUACUUUUUUGUUGUUGUUAAAACAUUAACUAGAUCUAUCCAUGUGAAAUUAACCAGAGUUUUUUUUUUUUUUAAAUACUAGAGGCUUAAUAAAAGAAAAAGACAAACAAAUGAAUGUCAGACAAAUUUCUCAUGUUGUGCACCCAGGGGAUCACACAUACUCUCUCUCACACACAAUCACACACACACACAUACACUGAGAGAAACUUGGACUGAAUUUACACACACGCGCGCACACAAGCAACACCCAAAUACACACAUGUACACUUUGACGUAAAUACACGGGUACACCUCAGUACUCUGUGCAUCAUACUGUAUGUAUUUGUUGAUUACAAAGUUUUUACAAAGUCUUCGCUCACUCAGCUGCAUCUGCAGAAAGGUACGGCCCGCCAGACUUUUGUUCUCCAUGGAUAUUAUAUCAGAAUAAUUAUCUGCUCAUGUUAAUACAUUGGCUUGUAAAUGUUGUUUAGCAGUGUCCAUUGCAAAUGGUUGUGUAAUGUCUUGUAAUACUAAUAUAUUAUGUUUAUCGAAAAUGAAUAUAUUUAAUGACACAUGACAAAAAAAUGUGGCUUUUGUGGUGUUUUGCUGUCGAUCUUUUAUUUUUUACUUUUACAUUGGAUUUUAGACGGCUGUAAUGAAAAUGAUUGAUGCGUGUUUGGCUAUUGAACAGCUUAACAGACCUGAAAUUUAAUUUGAAAUAAAGCUGUGCAAAAAAAAAGAAAAGAAAAAGAAAAGAAAGAAAAACAAACAAAUGAGGAUCUGUUGCUGAAAUUGCAUGUUUAGCUCCUAUUUCCUCUUAUGAUCAAAAAGCUUCUUUUGCUAUCACGACACAACAACACAGUUCCUACUAUUUGUUUCAAGUUUCAGCUGCAACUGGAAACCACUUUGUAACAUGAAUUUUGCAUUGCAAGACAUAAGAAGAAGAAUCUAACACAAUAAAAUGUUCCUGAAAGUCCUGCCAAAUAUAAAAUUGUAGAUUUUUCCAUUCUGGUAACACUCUAGAUUACAG
Long non-coding RNA from Astatotilapia calliptera (eastern happy), 1356 nucleotides. The record is from Ensembl. NCBI's taxonomy places the organism in Eukaryota, Metazoa, Chordata, Actinopteri, Cichliformes, Cichlidae.